UCGACGAGAACGGGUUAAAGCUUGCUUUAACUGUCAGCUAAGUGGCGCACGGGUGAGUAAUGUAUAGUUAACCUGCCCUCUAGAAAGGAAUAACAGUUGGAAACGACUGCUAAUGCCCUAUAUGCCCUUAAGACAUAAGUCUGCAGGGGAAACGCUUUUGUGCUAGAGGAUGGGACUGUAUGGUAUCAGCUUGUUGGUGAGGUAAUGGCUCACCAAGGCAAUGACGCCUAACUGGUUUGAGAGGAUGAUCAGUCACACUGGAACUGAGACACGGUCCAGACUCCUACGGGAGGCAGCAGUGGGGAAUAUUGCACAAUGGAGGAAACUCUGAUGCAGCAACGCCGCGUGGAGGAUGACACUUUUCGGAGCGUAAACUCCUUUUAUAUAGGAAGAUAAUGACGGUACUAUAUGAAUAAGCACCGGCUAACUCCGUGCCAGCAGCCGCGGUAAU
RNAcentral lists this ribosomal RNA (451 nucleotides) under uncultured Campylobacterota bacterium. Its description in RNAcentral is "bacterial SSU rRNA". It matches the Rfam family "Bacterial small subunit ribosomal RNA", at positions 62 to 524 of the family's 1533-position model. Lineage: Bacteria; Pseudomonadati; Campylobacterota. The record is from RNAcentral.